CAGGUUUACCUGUGUGACUGCGUACCUUUUGUAUAAUGGGUCAGCGACUUAUAUUCUGUAGCAAGGUUAACCGUAUAGGGGAGCCGUAGGGAAACCGAGUCUUAACCGGGCGUUAAGUUGCAGGGUAUAGACCCGAAACCCGGUGAUCUAGCCAUGGGCAGGUUGAAGGUUGGGUAACACUAACUGGAGGACCGAACCGACUAAUGUUGAAAAAUUAGCGGAUGACCUGUGGCUGGGGGUGAAAGGCCAAUCAAACCGGGAGAUAGCUGGUUCUCCCCGAAAGCUAUUUAGGUAGCGCCUCGUGAAUUCAUCUCCGGGGGUAGAGCACUGUUUCGGCUAGGGGGCCAUCCCGGCUUACCAACCCGAUGCAAACUGCGAAUACCGGAGAAUGUUAUCACGGGAGACACACGGCGGGUGCUAACGUCCGUCGUGAAGAGGGAAACAACCCAGACCGCCAGCUAAGGUCCCAAAGUCAUGGUUAAGUGGGAAACGAUGUGGGAAGGCCCAGACAGCCAGGAUGUUGGCUUAGAAGCAGCCAUCAUUUAAAGAAAGCGUAAUAGCUCACUGGUCGAGUCGGCCUGCGCGGAAGAUGUAACGGGGCUAAACCAUGCACCGAAGCUGCGGCAGCGACGCUGAUGCGUUGUUGGGUAGGGGAGCGUUCUGUAAGCCUGCGAAGGUGGCCUGUGAG
This 688-nucleotide ribosomal RNA is filed under the name Salmonella enterica. RNAcentral's name for it is "partial 23S ribosomal RNA". It matches the Rfam family "Bacterial large subunit ribosomal RNA", at positions 580 to 1267 of the family's 2925-position model. RNAcentral also lists the same sequence under 1 other name. The record is from RNAcentral. Lineage: Bacteria; Pseudomonadati; Pseudomonadota; Gammaproteobacteria; Enterobacterales; Enterobacteriaceae.